RNAcentral lists this ribosomal RNA (423 nucleotides) under uncultured bacterium. Its description in RNAcentral is "bacterial SSU rRNA". It matches the Rfam family "Bacterial small subunit ribosomal RNA", at positions 207 to 622 of the family's 1533-position model. The record is from RNAcentral.
AAGACCUUGCGCUUUUGGAGCGGCCGAUGUCUGAUUAGCUUGUUGGUGAGGUAAAAGCUUACCAAGGCUUCGAUCAGUAGCUGGUCUGAGAGGACGGCCAGCCACACUGGGACUGAGACACGGCCCAGACUCCUACGGGAGGCAGCAGUGGGGAAUUUUGGACAAUGGGGGCAACCCUGAUCCAGCCAUGCCGCGUGAGUGAAGAAGGCCUUCGGGUUGUAAAGCUCUUUCAGCCGGAACGAAACGGUUACGGUUAAUACCCGUGACUACUGACGGUACCGGAAGAAGAGGCACCGGCUAACUACGUGCCAGCAGCCGCGGUAAUACGUAGGGUGCAAGCGUUAAUCGGAAUUACUGGGCGUAAAGCGUGCGCAGGUGGUUUUGUAAGUCAGAUGUGAAAUCCCCGGGCUUAACCUGGGAACU